GAGGUCUUCCAGGUCCAGCUGCAGUGUGAGAUACCCUACAAUCAGAGCAGUCAACCCUUCCUGUCUGCUUCCUGACAGGUGGAGCUGGGACUCAUUCCAGGGAACAGCUCACCUGUGAGUGACCCCCUUCUUCAUCAACUCUUCUUCAUCAACUCUGUUUGAAGAAACUUCGUUCUGUCCAGUGAAGAAGAAGAGGAAGAAGAAGA
Molecule: long non-coding RNA, 206 nt
Organism: Perca fluviatilis (European perch)
Lineage: Eukaryota; Metazoa; Chordata; Actinopteri; Perciformes; Percidae
Exons: 3
Source: RefSeq, a predicted model, not a curated record